This 222-nucleotide long non-coding RNA is filed under the name Musa acuminata (dwarf banana). Its description in RNAcentral is "long non-coding RNA (MACU_LNC008352)". Lineage: Eukaryota; Viridiplantae; Streptophyta; Magnoliopsida; Zingiberales; Musaceae. The record is from RNAcentral.
AGGAAAGUAAAUAAUUUUUUAUAUUUUCUUAACAUUUCAAGCUAGCAAUUUUCGGUGAUGUUCAAGAUAUCAAUUUCUUCUCUUUUGAGAAGUGUAAUUUUUUUUUGCUUUUUUCUUGAAUUGUGCUAGCAAUCUAUCUCCCCCUUUGUCAUUGUCAAAAAGAAGGGAGAACUCAAUGGCUAAAAAUUUCAACCAUUCAACAAGCCAAAUAUGCAAAGAAUU